RNAcentral lists this transfer RNA (65 nucleotides) under Pityogenes bidentatus. RNAcentral describes it as "tRNA-Ile". The record is from RNAcentral. Lineage: Eukaryota; Metazoa; Arthropoda; Insecta; Coleoptera; Curculionidae.
AAUAGAAUGCCUGAAAAAGGGUUAUCUUGAUAGGAUAAAUCAUACAGGCAAUCCUGUUUCUAUUA